Molecule: ribosomal RNA, 433 nt
Filed under: uncultured bacterium
Lineage: Bacteria
Description: partial 16S ribosomal RNA
Rfam family: Bacterial small subunit ribosomal RNA
Source: RNAcentral
AACGAACGCUGGCGGCAUGCCUAACACAUGCAAGUCGAACGAGACCUUCGGGUCUAGUGGCGCACGGGUGCGUAACGCGUGGGAACCUGCCCUUAGGUUCGGCAUAACUCCCCGAAAGGGGUGCUAAUACCGGAUAAUGUCUUCGGACCAAAGAUUUAUUGCCUUUGGAUGGGCCCGCGUUGGAUUAGCUAGUUGGUAGGGUAAAAGCCUACCAAGGCGACGAUCCAUAGCUGGGCUGAGAGGAUGAUCAGCCACACUGGGACUGAGACACGGCCCAGACUCCUACGCGAGGCAGCAGUGGGGAAUAUUGGACAAUGGGCGAAAGCCUGAUCCAGCAAUGCCGCGUGAGUGAUGAAGGCCUUAGGGUUGUAAAGCUCUUUUACCCGGGAUGAUAAUGACAGUACCGGGAGAAUAAGCUCCGGCUAACUCCGUG